CCUACGGGAGGCAGCAGUGAGGAAUAUUGGUCAAUGGACGAGAGUCUGAACCAGCCAAGUAGCGUGAAGGAUGACUGCCCUACGGGUUGUAAACUUCUUUUAUAUAGGAAUAAAAUGAUCCACGUGUGGCAUUUUGUAUGUACUUUAUGAAUAAGGAUCGGCUAACUCCGUGCCAGCAGCCGCGGUAAUACGGAGGAUCCGAGCGUUAUCCGGAUUUAUUGGGUUUAAAGGGAGCGUAGAUGGGUUGUUAAGUCAGUUGUGAAAGUUUGCGGCUCAACCGUAAGAUUGCAGUUGAUACUGGCAGUCUUGAGUACAGUUGAGGUAGGCGGAAUUCGUGGUGUAGCGGUGAAAUGCUUAGAUAUCACGAAGAACUCCGAUUGCGAAGGCAGCUUACUAAACUGCCACUGACAUUGAUGCUCGAAAGUGUGGGUAUCAAACAGGAUUAGAUACCCCGGUAGUC
RNAcentral lists this ribosomal RNA (460 nucleotides) under uncultured bacterium. Its description in RNAcentral is "partial 16S ribosomal RNA". It matches the Rfam family "Bacterial small subunit ribosomal RNA", at positions 338 to 795 of the family's 1533-position model. The record is from RNAcentral.